AGAGUUUGAUCAUGGCUCAGGACGAACGCUGGCGGCGUGCUUAACACAUGCAAGUCGAACGCUGAAGCUCAGCUUGCUGGGUGGAUGAGUGGCGAACGGGUGAGUAACACGUGAGUAACCUGCCCCCUUCUUUGGGAUAACGCCCGGAAACGGGUGCUAAUACUGGAUAUUCACUGGCCUUCGCAUGGGGGUUGGUGGAAAGGUUUGUUCUGGUGGGGGAUGGGCUCGCGGCCUAUCAGCUUGUUGGUGGGGUGAUGGCCUACCAAGGCUUUGACGGGUAGCCGGCCUGAGAGGGUGACCGGUCACAUUGGGACUGAGAUACGGCCCAGACUCCUACGGGAGGCAGCA
This 348-nucleotide ribosomal RNA is filed under the name uncultured bacterium. RNAcentral describes it as "bacterial SSU rRNA". It matches the Rfam family "Bacterial small subunit ribosomal RNA", at positions 8 to 353 of the family's 1533-position model. The record is from RNAcentral.